CCUACGGGUGGCAGCAGUGAGGAAUAUUGGUCAAUGGGCGCUAGCCUGAACCAGCCAAGUAGCGUGAAGGAUGACUGCCCUAUUGGUUGUAAACUUCUUUUAUAUGGGAAUAAAGUGCAGUAUGUAUACUGCUUUGCAUGUACCUUAUGAAUAAGGAUCGGCUAACUCCGUGCCAGCAGCCGCGGUAAUACGGAGGAUCCGAGCGUUAUCCGGAUUUAUUGGGUUUAAAGGGUGCGUAGGCUGGUUUUUAAGUCAGUGGUAAAAGUUUGGGGCUCAACCGUAAAAUUGCAGUUGAUACGGGAAGUUUGGAGAGAGUGAGAGGGAGGAGGAAUGCGUGGGGGAGCGGGGAAUGGCAUAGAUACAACGAAGAACUCCGAUUGCGAAGGCAGC
Molecule: ribosomal RNA, 390 nt
Filed under: uncultured bacterium
Lineage: Bacteria
Description: partial 16S ribosomal RNA
Rfam family: Bacterial small subunit ribosomal RNA
Source: RNAcentral